Molecule: ribosomal RNA, 393 nt
Filed under: uncultured bacterium
Lineage: Bacteria
Description: partial 16S ribosomal RNA
Rfam family: Bacterial small subunit ribosomal RNA
Source: RNAcentral
GNAGGGAGCAAGCGUUAUCCGGAUNUACUGGGUGUAAAGGGCGUGUAGGCGGGAGNGCAAGNCAGAUGUGAAAACUAUGGGCUCAACCCAUAGCCUGCAUNUGAAACNGUACNNCUUGAGUACUGGAGAGGCAGGCGGAAUNCCGUGUGUAGCGGUGAAAUGCGUAGAUAUACGGAGGAACACCAGUGGCGAAGGCGGCCUGCUGGACAGCAACUGACGCUGAGGCGCGAAAGCGUGGGGAGCAAACAGGAUUAGAUACCCUGGUAGUCCACGCUGUAAACGAUGGAUACUAGGUGUGGGGGGACUGACCCCUUCCGUGCCGCAGUUAACACAGUAAGUAUCCCACCUGGGGAGUACGAUCGCAAGGUUGAAACUCAAAGGAAUUGACGGAAG